Molecule: ribosomal RNA, 296 nt
Filed under: uncultured bacterium
Lineage: Bacteria
Description: partial 16S ribosomal RNA
Rfam family: Bacterial small subunit ribosomal RNA
Source: RNAcentral
GGAUUAGAUACCCUGGUAGUCCACGCUGUAAACGAUGAGUACUAGCUGUUGGUUCUGGUGUAAAAGAAUUAGUGACUCAGUUAACGCGAUAAGUACUCCGCCUGGGGACUACGACCGCAAGGUUAAAACUCAAAGGAAUUGACGGGGACCCGCACAAGCGGUGGAGCAUGUGGUUUAAUUCGAUGCAACGCGAAGAACCUUACCUACCCUUGACAUCCACAGAAGACAGAAGAGAUUUUGUUGUGCCUUCGGGAACUGUGAGACAGGUGCUGCAUGGCUGUCGUCAGCUCGUGCCG